RNAcentral lists this long non-coding RNA (461 nucleotides) under Monodelphis domestica (gray short-tailed opossum). RNAcentral's name for it is "lncRNA (ENSMODG00000047389.1)". Lineage: Eukaryota; Metazoa; Chordata; Mammalia; Didelphimorphia; Didelphidae. The record is from RNAcentral.
UUUAUUUUAUUGCUAUGGCCCCCUCAUUAUCCAUAUGAAAGAAAGGUGGGGGCAUAGAACUCCUUUUUUUUUUUUAAACCCUUACCUUCCUUCUUGGAGUCAAUGCUGUGUAUUGGUUCCAAGGCAGAAGAGUGGUAAGGGCUAGGCAAUGGGGGUCAAGUGACUUGCCCAGGGUCACACAGCUGGGAAGUGUCUGAGGCCAGAUUUUAACCUAGGACCUCCUAUCUCUAGGCCUGGCUCUCAAUCCACUGAGCUACCCAGCUGCCCCCCAGGGCAUAGAACUCUUGAAAAAAAUAAGCAAAGUUGAGCACAACAAAUUCCACAUAGUAACCCUGUCUAGAAAUUUAUGUGACUUUAACUUGUAUCUAUCACUUCUCUUUCAGUGGGUAGGUAACAUGCUUCAUCAUAGAUUCUCUGAAGACAUGGUUGUUUGUCUUCCCAUUGGAUGGGCCAAAGCUUGA